This 228-nucleotide ribosomal RNA is filed under the name uncultured bacterium. RNAcentral describes it as "partial 16S ribosomal RNA". It matches the Rfam family "Bacterial small subunit ribosomal RNA", at positions 568 to 796 of the family's 1533-position model. The record is from RNAcentral.
UACGUAGGCGGGAAAUUAAGUCAGUAGUGAAAUCCCACAGCUUAACUGUGGAACUGUUAUUGAUACUGGUUUUCUUGAAUAUAGUUGAGGUAGGCGGAAUGUGUAAUGUAGCGGUGAAAUGCUUAGAUAUUACACAGAACACCGAUUGCGAAGGCAGCUUACUAAACUAUGAUUGACGCUGAGGUACGAAAGCGUGGGGAGCGAACAGGAUUAGAUACCUGGUAGUCC